Molecule: long non-coding RNA, 277 nt
Organism: Alexandromys fortis (reed vole)
Lineage: Eukaryota; Metazoa; Chordata; Mammalia; Rodentia; Cricetidae
Exons: 3
Source: RefSeq, a predicted model, not a curated record
CAGGAAGCAGCAUUUUUUUUCGUGGUCUCUGCUUCAAUCCCUGCCUAAGGUUUCUACUUGGCUUCCUGCCCUGACUCUCCUCAGUGAUGGAGCGCAAGCUGAAGCUGGAAGGCUUGAAUCUCCUAGGAAGAGGGAACAAUCUCAACUGAGAAAUCGCCUCCAUCAGAUUGACCUGGACUUCUGGACACAGAACGUGAGUUGGUAAGGUGUUGAUUUCCCUGGAACUCCUGGUGCCCCUAGGAGUCAGCAGCCAAGCUAUGCUGGAAGGAUGGGUAAG